GGUGAGUGCGUGACCAUGAGCUUAUCUGAGCGAUUGGUUUGUAUGACUUGUUUUGUGUGAUGAUAUGUAGGUGUGGUGAAUGUGUUUUUGGGUGAACGGUUCAAUGACUGGUUUGUUAUGUUUUA
Molecule: small RNA, 125 nt
Filed under: Arabidopsis thaliana (thale cress)
Lineage: Eukaryota; Viridiplantae; Streptophyta; Magnoliopsida; Brassicales; Brassicaceae
Description: ATSL263180
Source: RNAcentral